UCGGCCUAACACAUGCAAGUCGAACGAACCCUUCGGGGUUAGUGGCGCACGGGUGCGUAACGCGUGGGAAUCUGCCCUUUGCUUCGGAAUAACAGUUAGAAAUGACUGCUAAUACCGGAUGAUGUCUUCGGACCAAAGAUUUAUCGGCAAGGGAUGAGCCCGCGUAGGAUUAGGUAGUUGGUGGGGUAAAGGCCUACCAAGCCGACGAUCCUUAGCUGGUCUGAGAGGAUGAUCAGCCACACUGGGACUGAGACACGGCCCAGACUCCUACGGGAGGCAGCAGUGGGGAAUAUUAAGGGAUGGGCGCAAGCCUGAUCCAGCAAUGCCGCGUGAUAAAGGAAGGCCUUCGGGUCGUAAAGCUCUUUUACCAGGGA
This 374-nucleotide ribosomal RNA is filed under the name uncultured bacterium. Its description in RNAcentral is "bacterial SSU rRNA". It matches the Rfam family "Bacterial small subunit ribosomal RNA", at positions 43 to 445 of the family's 1533-position model. The record is from RNAcentral.